This 1085-nucleotide long non-coding RNA is filed under the name Homo sapiens (human). RNAcentral describes it as "HSALNT0326221". Lineage: Eukaryota; Metazoa; Chordata; Mammalia; Primates; Hominidae. The record is from RNAcentral.
CUCUCCAUUAAUUCCUCCCUGGCAUGUUCAGGAUCUUGGCCUCACUCCAGGCUCAGGCUUUUUCUCUGUCUUCAGCUUUCUUUUUGUUUUCAAAUUAUUUUUUAUCUAGAUCAAUUUUCCAUAAUGUUUUCAACUUAUCUAGCAUGAAUUGAAAUCUGGUCCCCAACUAUAAAUCUAUGUGAUGACAAUCUUCAAUAUAUGUCCAGACUCUAUGUGAAUAUGGAGGAUGAUAGAGAAAGGGAAGGCAGUACUGCUAGUCUAUAGGGCUAAAUGUAGAAUGGGCUGAGGAGGGGAGCUCAUGACAAUUUUCAUCUGCUGCUGCUUUUUUGGCCAUCUUAACUUCAUCGGUGAAGCUUAUUCCAGAUUCAAAGGUCAACUGCUUCCAACUAAACCUUUGAAUUCAUCAUUCUUCUCAUAGACAUUUUGCACUGUAUUAAAGAGAUCCUCAACAUUUUCCGCUUCCCAAGUCAGCAUCACUUUCAGAGUUUUGUCUCCAGUGUGAGAACAGACAAAUACACCAGUCCCUGGACUGAUACCUGAAAAAAGAGGAGAUAAGCAAGAAGGCUCACCAGAUUCUCGUACUUUGGUAUUAAACUAGGCGUCCAGGAUAUUAAGAAUUCAAGGAGAUUGGAACCACCUGGACCAUCUGGAUAUCCCACAGAAGACCACACUGACCCAUUAUUACACUGAUGAUAUCAUGCUGAUUGGGCAAGAGAAGCAAGAGGAAGGAAGGCCCACAGAAGUUGCUGUGUGAACAUGUGUGGAGAUGUGAAUCCAUAUAGCUCAAAGGGUGGACUGUGACACCUAUGAGAAUUCUCAGAAGGCACAGGCAGUGGAAUUCAGAACUGGGUAAGUACAAUAUCAAUACUGGGAGCAAAAUUUCCUUUUUGUGUUCUUAAGACAGUAAAAUACAUAAAAUAAACCCCCUCUUCCCCCCACAAAAGUGCUAAAUGGAAUUUUCCCUCAAUGGAAGCUGAGACAGUUGAUUUUCAGAAAUUGAAGUAAUUCAGCAUUACUAUGCUGUUAAGCCUGUCAGGGAAUCAGAGCCCUCUAUUGUGAUUCAUAUUUCCUGGAAAUGCCCAUGG